GAUUUAAAGAGACAGAAGCUGUCGGGGUCCUGGAAGACGGUCCCCAAUACCCUCCCCCCAAGUCCUUGGGACCACUUGGGUCCCCAGAGCUGGGGAGAUGGUUUGUGGCGGCUUUGCCUGCUCCAAGAAUGCGCUUUGCGCUCUCAACGUGGUCUACAUGCUGGUGAGCUUGUUGCUCAUUGGAGUGGCUGCUUGGGGCAAGGGCCUGGGUCUGGUGUCCAGCAUCCACAUCAUCGGCGGAGUCAUUGCUGUGGGAGUCUUCCUUCUCCUUAUUGCAGUGGCUGGACUGGUGGGUGCUGUCAACCACCACCAAGUCCUGCUGUUCUUUUACAUGAUCAUCCUUGGUUUGGUCUUCAUCUUCCAAUUUGUAAUCUCUUGCUCAUGUCUGGCUAUUAACCGAAGCAAACAGACAGAUGUCAUCAAUGCUUCUUGGUGGGUCAUGAGCAACAAGACUCGGGAUGAACUGGAAAGAAGUUUUGAUUGUUGUGGCUUAUUCAACCUCACAACCCUGUAUCAACAAGAUUAUGAUUUCUGCACUGCAGUGAGUGUGUUGGGGGUGGUGCAGCAGCCAGGGGAGGUAGGAAACUGGGUAAGGACAAUGCCCAAGUUGGCAAAUUUAGUUUGAAUGUCAUUGUUUCUCUCUCUACAAGCCCUCUUGUAUUGGGGCUGUGUGUUGGUGGGAGGUGGGGGUGGAUAGAGGCUGGGAAAUUAGCCAAGUAGGAUUUUAGUUUGUAGGACACUGGUCAGAUAACAGUAAAGCUUCUAGGGACAUUUGGCAUAGGUAUUAGUCACCAGCAACUUUACAUUCACAACUUUGCAUUCUUCACAUCUUAUCCUCAGAUCUGCAAGAGCCAGAGCCCCACAUGCCAGAUGUGUGGAGAAAAGUUUCUUAAGCAUUCAGAUGAAGCCCUGAAAAUCCUAGGGGGUGUUGGACUCUUCUUUAGCUUUACAGAGGUAACAUUCUCCAGUUCCCUCACACACAUCCUUUUUAACUUGAGACUGAGAAUUAAUUGAUACUUAUCUCUCUCCCUUUGUUCCUACAGAUCCUUGGUGUUUGGCUAGCAAUGAGAUUUCGGAAUCAGAAGGAUCCUAGAGCCAACCCCAGUGCCUUUCUAUGAGACUUUGGAUCCUUCUGACUUUUCUUCUGCUCUAAGCUUUCUCUUCCUCCCUUAGGGAAUAUCUAGGGUCUGUAACCGUUUUGGUUUGAGAAAAAGGAAAGGCCCCUUGUCACAUCCUCUAAAAUUGAUGGAAUAGCAAGACUUUAUGCCUUGACAUAUUUUAGUGGGAGCCAGACUAUAAGGAAUAAAAGGAAAAACUUUCUCCCUCUCUCUCCAAGAGGAUAUGGGAAGCUUCUAUGAGUGCAUAGGAUGGGGGCUGGAGUCAUUCUUAGCUGUUUCCCUUCCUCCUCCAUCCAUAUACUGGAUCACCUCAACAUACCCUGGUGUGGCUCUAAGGGUAAAUCAGGGAUAGAGCCAAGGAGAAAACAACCAAGAACUCUUUCCUGUAAUAAGCAGGAUCCAGUUUGAGAAAGUUUAGCGAAUAUAAAAGUAAAAGCCAUUUAAAAAUCUAUAUUCUUUUUUUUUUUUGACACAGUCUUGCUCUGUUGCCCAGGCUGGAGUGCAAUGGCAUGAUCUCGGCUCACCGCAACCUCUGCCUCCCGGGUUCAAGCGAUUCUCCUGCCUCAGUCUCCCAAGUAGCUGGGAUUACAGGUGUGCGCCACCACGCCUGACUAAUUUUGUAUCUUUAGUAGAGACAGGGUUUCACCAUGUUAGUCAGGCUGGUCUCGAACUCCUGACCUCAGGUGAUCCACCCGCGUUGGCCUCCCAAAGUGCUGGGAUUAUAGGCGUGAGCCACCAUGCCCCGCCUAAAAUCCAUAUUCAAAGAAGCAAUUUCAGUUCCUUUCUAAGCUUUGUCAGUCAAGGGGCUCCACUGACUUCCUAGGCCUUGUAACUAACCAGUCUUUAAGGUUUUGCAGGAAAGUCCCUUCUUCCAAGUGGUUUUUCCAAAUCGCACAAUGGCAAAGCCAAA
This 2028-nucleotide small RNA is filed under the name Pan troglodytes (chimpanzee). Its description in RNAcentral is "retained intron". Lineage: Eukaryota; Metazoa; Chordata; Mammalia; Primates; Hominidae. The record is from RNAcentral.